Molecule: long non-coding RNA, 209 nt
Filed under: Gossypium barbadense (sea-island cotton)
Lineage: Eukaryota; Viridiplantae; Streptophyta; Magnoliopsida; Malvales; Malvaceae
Description: long non-coding RNA (GBAR_LNC010721)
Source: RNAcentral
UAAAAUUUACAAAAUAUUAAAAAAUAUUAUAAAAAAGCAUACAGAUCAUAAAACUGAUUAAAAUAUAUGAAAAUUUAUAAUAAAAAAAACAUUUUUUAUUUGUACACUAACAAUCAUUAACACUAAAACACCUAUUAAAAAUUCUAAAAUAGUUAUUUGAUCCAUGAAGCAUACAUGUCCAUUGCAAUGCAAACUAAAGAGGGAAAAAU